UAUAUCUGUAACAUUUUUUUUUUAUAAUCGGAUCUAUCUAUUUACUCGAUCUGUCUUAUCAUACAGUUUUUGAACAGAAUUAUGUAGUCACCUUCGACUUGCUUGUCCAUUUCGAAUUCCUCCUGUCUGAUGUUUAUCCUUUACAAUUCGCCGUGAGCGCCAGUAGAAUGGAUUAAACGUAAAGUUGCGCCGGCGUAGCAGUUGAAAGACUUUUAAACUACGUGCAGUUCAGUUUUUGUCAGCCCCCUAAAGAUUCAACCUACACUCUGUAAAUGACUGCAAAAUCAUUCUGCACGUAGGGGACGUAACGACGUAGAAUACCAGAAGUGUGAAGAAAUGGUGAGGAAAUAACGAAAGAUAAACACUAUCUCUAAAAUGGUAAUCUUUAAAAUUGUUGCACCCUUGCUUCACGGUGCUUGUGACAGCAUAACAACAUUAAUAAAGAAUUAAGGUUUGAGACGUGAAUAAAGAUAAAUGCACCAGUCUGAGACUCUCUGUGUGUCAAUUCAAUUAAAUCAAGGACUGCUACAGUGAAAACAUCUGAAAUGUUCUUCACGUCUUGUGCUGCGUGAUACCUCAAGACGAGCAGAUGUCCAGCUGAAAACCUGCACUCAGGCAAGUUCAGGGUCUGACAGCACAUCAUAUAUGCGGAUGCUACAGAUACAGUGAUAAAUCCUUGUCUAUAAGGGAGAGUGAAAUUUGAACAUCCUUAUAUAUAAAGUACUUAAACCUACAUGGGCUAUA
Molecule: long non-coding RNA, 744 nt
Organism: Erpetoichthys calabaricus (reedfish)
Lineage: Eukaryota; Metazoa; Chordata; Cladistia; Polypteriformes; Polypteridae
Exons: 3
Source: RefSeq, a predicted model, not a curated record